UCCCCUUCCCUUUUUAUUGAGCCGAGCCCAAUAUGACUUUCGAACCCCAGCACUUUCUAUAAAACCCUGACAAUCAUGGCCGCCAAACCAAUUUCUUUCGAAAAAAUUCGGAGCCGAGAUGCAGAUCUUUGUAAAGACACUUACGGGGAAAACAAUCACUCUCGAAGUCGAGAGCAGUGAUACCAUCGACAAUGUCAAGGCGAAGAUCUAGGACAAGGAAGGAAUUCCACCGGACCAGCAACGCCUAAUCUUCGCCGGUAAGCAGCUGGAAGAUGGGCGUACCUUGGCGGAUUACAAUAUACAGAAAGAAUCGACUCUUCAUUUGGUUCUGAGACUUCGAGGAGGAAUAAUCGAGCCUUCUUUGAUGGCUUUGGCUCGUAAAUACAAUCAGGACAAGAUGAUUUGCCGCAAGUAUGCUCACUCUAAUUGAAUAUAUUUAUCUAUCUUAAAUUUAUUUGGGUUUGAUAUUGUUGUUAUGGUUACGGGGCUUGACUUAGCUUCGCUUGCUAUGACAAUGCAGGAGAAGUCAUACAAGUACCCAAUAUAAACAAAUGUCCAUUCUUCAACUUUGUCAACUGUUUCUUAAAUUAUUUUAGUGGCAGUUGAUUUUCAUGGGUGGUACAUCUGUGAGUUAAUGCAUUCUUAUCGCACUGGGGUGUGAUUGUUGAGGUUUCCCGUAGGAUAUUGCCUUGAUAUGUUGGAAAAGUGUGCCUAUAAACUGCUUAGGUAGCACUUUUUCGUGAGUCCUCUUUCCAAGAAUUAUAAUUGAAGAUGUUAUGCUCGCCUGCAUCCGAGAGCUGUAAAUUGCCGGAAGAAGAAAUGUGGUCACAGCAAUCAGGCUUGUCUUACAUUUCCCACUUGAUCUGAUCUUAUACUUGUUCAUAAAUGAUAUGUCUGAAGGUUCUUUGCUCUGUCAAUAAAAUUAAGACUACUGUUCAUUUCUUGCAGUUGAGGCCUAAGAAGAAGAUCAAGUAGAUUCAAGAACUCUCCUGCCUUCUUUGCUUUGAGAGUAACAUUUUGAGUGAUGAGAAUAUAAAUUUUGCCUUCUAAGAUUUGAAAUCAUGUGGUAUUUGAACCAAAGAAAACCAAUUUUAGUAAAAUUAUAGUUGAUUAUUCAUGGGAAGCUGUAUUAAAUUUGACAAUUAUUGGUUUGAGUUUCAUUCGUGAAUUGCUUCA
Long non-coding RNA from Mangifera indica (mango), 1176 nucleotides. RefSeq lists it as uncharacterized. The transcript has 3 exons. Lineage: Eukaryota; Viridiplantae; Streptophyta; Magnoliopsida; Sapindales; Anacardiaceae. The record is from RefSeq and is a predicted model, not a curated record.